RNAcentral lists this ribosomal RNA (438 nucleotides) under uncultured bacterium. Its description in RNAcentral is "bacterial SSU rRNA". It matches the Rfam family "Bacterial small subunit ribosomal RNA", at positions 954 to 1392 of the family's 1533-position model. The record is from RNAcentral.
GCUAAACGCGAAGAACCUUACCUGGUCUUGACAUGUCUGGAAUCCCGAAGAGAUUUGGGAGUGCCGCAAGGAACCAGAACACAGGUGCUGCAUGGCUGUCGUCAGCUCGUGUCGUGAGAUGUUGGGUUAAGUCCCGCAACGAGCGCAACCCUUGUCCUUAGUUGCCAUCAUUAAGUUGGGAACUCUAAGGAGACCGCCGGUGACAAACCGGAGGAAGGUGGGGAUGACGUCAAGUCAUCAUGGCCUUUAUGGCCAGGGCUACACACGUGCUACAAUGGCAGGUACAGAGGGAAGCCAACCGGCGACGGGGAGCUAAUCCCAGAAAGCCUGUCUUAGUCCGGAUUGCAGUCUGCAACUCGACUGCAUGAAGUUGGAAUCGCUAGUAAUCGCAGAUCAGCAUUGCUGCGGUGAAUACGUUCCCGGGUCUUGUACACACCG